This 51-nucleotide ribosomal RNA is filed under the name Fusarium sp. Its description in RNAcentral is "partial 28S ribosomal RNA". RNAcentral also lists the same sequence under 9 other names. The record is from RNAcentral. Lineage: Eukaryota; Fungi; Ascomycota; Sordariomycetes; Hypocreales; Nectriaceae.
UUGACCUCGAAUCAGGUAGGAAUACCCGCUGAACUUAAGCAUAUCAAUAAG